Molecule: ribosomal RNA, 498 nt
Filed under: uncultured bacterium
Lineage: Bacteria
Description: partial 16S ribosomal RNA
Rfam family: Bacterial small subunit ribosomal RNA
Source: RNAcentral
AUUGAACGCUGGCGGCAUGCUUUACACAUGCAAGUCGAACGGAUUUUGGAGCUUGCUCCAGAGUUAGUGGCGAACGGGUGAGUAAUAUAUCGGAACGUACCCGGCAAUGGGGGAGAACGUAGCGAAAGGUAAGCUAAUACCGCAUACGAACUAUGGCUGAAAGCGGGGGAUCGCACGACCCCGCGCGUUUGAAGCGGCCGAUAUCAGAUUAGGUAGUUGGUGGGGUAAAGGCCCACCAAGCCAACGAGCUGUAGCUGGUCUGAGAGGACGACCAGCCACACUGGAACUGAGACACGGUCCAGACUCCUACGGGAGGCAGCAGUGGGGAAUUUUGGACAAUGGGCGAAAGCCUGAUCCAGCCAUUCCGCGUGCAGGAUGAAGGCCCUCGGGUUGUAAACUGCUUUUGUACAGAACGAAAAGGUUUCUACUAAUACUAGGAGCUCAUGACGGUACUGUAAGAAUAAGCACCAGCUAACUACGUGCCAGCCGCCGCAGUAA